AUUUAACCUCCCCAAAAUAGAAACAGUUCAAUUGUUUCUUCAGGUAAAAUGCUAAUACCUAUUGCUGGUGCUUAAUUGUACACAUUCAGAGCAGUCUUAUUAAAGUCAAUGGGGCCCUUAGCAAAAUGAAGUAGUCUUUGCAAGAUUGGGUUAUGUGUUGAUAUAUAAAAUACAAAACCUUAUUUCUGUUUGAAUUUACACGCUGCAUACAGUGGGAGAAACUUGCUAGAAAACAUGAGCACUUUGGACUGAGUUAUGUGGAAGAGCUGAAUAUGAUUAAGGAACAUGAGACUAUAUGCAGGGAGUCUCAGUGGGGUAGUCUGAAGAUCAAAUAAGCAAUAGUUACUGUUCCUAGGAACGUGAGCAUUUAGCCCUUAUUGGAAGAUUUAACACCAGAUCAAUCACAUCAGUUAAGAACAUUAUCCUCUCCAGAGGUCGAUGAGUCCACAUAAGCCUGUCAUGAAUAUAAAUAAAAAUAUUCCUAAUUAAUUCAUCGGGUGUUCUGAAGUUCACAGAAAGGAUCUCUUCUGAAGUAAGAGACAUGAAAAAACAAACUCCUCAUCUCAGGGUGAUGACUCAGAGAAAUAAAUCCGUGGCAAAAGGCAGUGCUGACAAAAAUCGGGGAACUUGCUCUGAAGAAGUUAACAGAGAAAGUGCCACUUGUAGUCAUGAAAGUACAGUUGUAAAACUGCCAGUAAUAGUAUCAUUUGCAGGUACCACUAAGAAAAUCCUAAUGGUCAAGCACGCAGCACCAUCUCAGAAGCCAAACUGCAGGCCUAAUGUUCAUGUUCAUAGAUCCCCUAUCUCAUUAAAAAAGACAAAAGCUAUUAGUAAAGAAAAGGAUAGAGUGCAUAUGCUACAGAUGAAUCUCCAGAAUUUAAAAAGGGAUAAAACUGGAGAAACAGAUGCUGUAAUUAUAGAUAGUGAAGAAUUUAGCUCUACAGAUUCUGAUACAAGUAAAAGCUCUUCAAGAAAGGGAAAAACAAUCUGGUAAAGCUGUAAGAAGCGAAGCAGAGUAAUUUCAAAAGCAAAGCAGCAAGAUUUAGAUGUUCGAUUGGGAAGGGUGCUGAGAAAAGGAAGCAAGCAGCUAAGUGUGAGGUCUGCUCAAGAGCAUUUGAAAGAGGCAAGAGAUGUGACUAGACCAGACACUUCAAAAAUGUAUGAGAACUACCAGCAGAGCAAACCUGAAGAGCCUACUUCCACACCAGCAUUGCCUGUGAAAGAGGUUGCAAGGUCUAUUGAUGAAAUAGUUGCUUCCCUGCAGUCUACUUCUCUAUCUCCCUCAGACCAGACGAUCAAAGAACUCCUGGAGAGUGUUCUUGGCUAGAACUACAAUAUAAAAAUGGAAGCAGGUGAACCAGAACAAGAGCAAUAUUUUUCUCUUGGCAUUCUUGUUUGACACUAGUUUUCUGCUCUUGCUUAUACAACAGGCUCCUGAACAUGAGGAAAUGAAAACUGAAUAUCAAGUCCUGCCAAGUUUUUACCAAGCAAGCCUGAAGACACCAGUAGUUCAGAAAGAAUUUCAAGCAGCAGAAAAUGAAUCUCUAGCUAGAGAUGACCUAACAUAUAAUAAGCAGGUAAGCAGGUGUUUAGUACUGUUGUGACAUGGUAUUAAUUUUCCCAUGCUUAAGGUUUGAUUCUUUAGAGCAUAUAGAUGUCUGCAAGCUGUUUCCUUACCACCUGCCCUUUAAAAGAAGGUUUUCUAUAAAACAGGUCUUCAUACUGGUCUUGCAGCUUAAGGUUAGAGGAGAAAACAAAUUAAGGUUCAUUCGGUCAGAUGUUGGGUUAGGCUUUUCUUUAUGAGAUUGGAAAGAAGAUUACAAAUGAAACAAUGUAUAAAUAGAAUACUAAUCUACAUUUAACAAGUGGAUGCCUUCCUGGAAAAUGGCAUAAUGCUCAAUAUCCUUUUGCUUUUGUGAUAUUUCACAUACACAUGACAAAAACUCUCAUUCUGAUAUCAACUCUAUAAAACUUAGCUUUUUAGUAGAGAAAACAUAUUAGGUUUAUAGAGACAGUAACACAGAGGACAAAUUUGCUGCUAAAACCAAGUUAUGUCUUUUCCCACAUGUUGUCAGUUUCUAGUGUUCUGGUAUUUCAAGCCUAUAGUCAGAUACUAAAAUAAAAUCUUAACCUGAUUCCUUCUGUAGGUUCAAUGGAAAGAAUUACUUUGCCU
Molecule: long non-coding RNA, 2173 nt
Organism: Pezoporus occidentalis (night parrot)
Lineage: Eukaryota; Metazoa; Chordata; Aves; Psittaciformes; Psittacidae
Exons: 3
Source: RefSeq, a predicted model, not a curated record